RNAcentral lists this unclassified non-coding RNA (174 nucleotides) under uncultured fungus. RNAcentral's name for it is "sequence contains ITS1". The record is from RNAcentral. Lineage: Eukaryota; Fungi.
CAUGGCGGAGGAGGUGGGCACCUGGUAACCCUGGGUGUGUUGCCUUCACGCUUUCUACCCUUGUCUAUUUGCACCUUUUGUCGUUCCCUCGGUGGGUCUUGAACCUGCCGACGGCAACUUUCAAAACCUCUUGCAGUAGUAUCAAAUUCUUCUGAUUCAAAUAUCAAAUCGUUA